RNAcentral lists this ribosomal RNA (253 nucleotides) under uncultured bacterium. Its description in RNAcentral is "partial 16S ribosomal RNA". It matches the Rfam family "Bacterial small subunit ribosomal RNA", at positions 524 to 776 of the family's 1533-position model. The record is from RNAcentral.
UACGGAGGGUGCAAGCGUUAAUCGGAAUUACUGGGCGUAAAGCGCACGUAGGUGGUUUUGUAAGUCAGAUGUGAAAGCCCCGGGCUUAACCUGGGAAUUGCAUCUGAUACUGCAUGACUAGAGUAUGUUAGAGGGAAGUGGAAUUCCGGGUGUAGCGGUGAAAUGCGUAGAUAUCCGGAGGAACACCAAUGGCGAAGGCAACUUCCUGGGACAAUACUGACACUGAGGUGCGAAAGCGUGGGGAGCAAACAGG